Molecule: transfer RNA, 65 nt
Filed under: Meitanaphis flavogallis
Lineage: Eukaryota; Metazoa; Arthropoda; Insecta; Hemiptera; Aphididae
Description: tRNA-Asp
Source: RNAcentral
AAAAAAUUAGUUAAAAUAAAUAACAUUAAUUUGUCAAAUUAAAAUUAUAAUACAAAUAUUUUUUA